CAGCAGCCACGGUAAUACGAAGGGGGCUAGCGUUGUUCGGAAUUACUGGGCGUAAAGCGCACGUAGGCGGAUAUUUAAGUCAGGGGUGAAAUCCCGCAGCUCAACUGCGGAACUGCCUUUGAUACUGGGUAUCUUGAGUAUGGAAGAGGUUAGUGGAAUUGCGAGUGUAGAGGUGAAAUUCGUAGAUAUUCGCAGGAACACCAGUGGCGAAGGCGGCUAACUGGUCCAUAACUGACGCUGAGGUGCGAAAGCGUGGGGAGCAAACAGGAUUAGAUACCCCUGUAGUCCCUGUCUCUUAUAC
RNAcentral lists this ribosomal RNA (301 nucleotides) under uncultured bacterium. RNAcentral's name for it is "partial 16S ribosomal RNA". It matches the Rfam family "Bacterial small subunit ribosomal RNA", at positions 509 to 807 of the family's 1533-position model. The record is from RNAcentral.